This 397-nucleotide ribosomal RNA is filed under the name uncultured bacterium. Its description in RNAcentral is "partial 16S ribosomal RNA". It matches the Rfam family "Bacterial small subunit ribosomal RNA", at positions 523 to 918 of the family's 1533-position model. The record is from RNAcentral.
AUACGUAGGGGGCGAGCGUUGUCCGGAAUGAUUGGGCGUAAAGGGCGCGUAGGCGGCCCGGUAAGUCUGGAGUGAAAGACCUGUUUUUAAGAUGGGAAUUGCUUUGGAUACUGUCGGGCUUGAGUGCAGGAGAGGUAAGUGGAAUUCCCAGUGUAGCGGUGAAAUUCGUAGAGAUUGGGAGGAACACCAGUGGCGAAGGCGACUUACUGGACUGUAACUGACGCUGAGGCGCGAAAGUGUGGGGAGCAAACAGGAUUAGAUACCCUGGUAGUCCACACUGUAAACGAUGAAUGCUAGGUGUAGGGGGUAUCGACCCCUUCUGUGCCGCAGUCAACACAAUAAGCAUUCCGCCUGGGGAGUACGGCCGCAAGGUUGAAACUCAAAUGAAUUGACGGGG